Molecule: ribosomal RNA, 527 nt
Filed under: uncultured bacterium
Lineage: Bacteria
Description: bacterial SSU rRNA
Rfam family: Bacterial small subunit ribosomal RNA
Source: RNAcentral
UCUUGACAUCCAGAGAACUUUCCAGAGAUGGAUUGGUGCCUUCGGGAACUCUGAGACAGGUGCUGCAUGGCUGUCGUCAGCUCGUGUUGUGAAUGUUGGUUAAGUCCGCAACGAGCGCAACCCCUAUCCUUUGUUGCCAGCGAUUCGGUCGGGAACUCAAAGGAGACUGCCGGUGAUAAACCGGAGGAAGGUGGGGAUGACGUCAAGUCAUCAUGGCCCUUACGAGUAGGGCUACACACGUGCUACAAUGGCGUAUACAAAGAGAAGCGACCUCGCGAGAGCAAGCGGACCUCAUAAAGUACGUCGUAGUCCGGAUUGGAGUCUGCAACUCGACUCCAUGAAGUCGGAAUCGCUAGUAAUCGUAGAUCAGAAUGCUACGGUGAAUACGUUCCCGGGCCUUGUACACACCGCCCGUCACACCAUGGGAGUGGGUUGCAAAAGAAGUAGAUAGCUUAACCUUCGGGAGGGCGUUUACCACUUUGUGAUUCAUGACUGGGGUGAAGUCGUAACAAGGUAAGCGUAGCGAG